GAUGAACGCUGGCGGCGUGCCUAAUACAUGCAAGUCGAGCGAACAGACGAGGAGCUUGCUCCUCUGACGUUAGCGGCGGACGGGUGAGUACCACGUGGCUAACCUACCUAUAAGACUGGGAUCACUUCGGGAAACCGGAGCUAAUACCGGAUCAUAUAUUGAACCGCAUGGUUCAAUAGUGAACGACGGUUCUGCUGUCACUUAUAGAUGGAUCCGCGCCGCAUUAGCUAGUUGGUAAGGUAACGGCUUACCAAGGCAACGAUGCGUAGCCGACCUGAGAGGGUGAUCGGCCACACUGGAACUGAGACACGGUCCAGACUCCUACGGGAGGCAGCAGUAGGGAAUCUUCCGCAAUGGGCGAAAGCCUGACGGAGCAACGCCGCGUGAGUGAUGAAGGUCUUCGGAUCGUAAAACUCUGUUAUUAGGGAAGAACAAAUGUGUAAGUAACUAUGCACGUCUUGACGGUACCUAAUCAGAAAGCCACGGCUAACUACGUG
RNAcentral lists this ribosomal RNA (497 nucleotides) under uncultured bacterium. RNAcentral describes it as "partial 16S ribosomal RNA". It matches the Rfam family "Bacterial small subunit ribosomal RNA", at positions 28 to 507 of the family's 1533-position model. The record is from RNAcentral.